RNAcentral lists this ribosomal RNA (442 nucleotides) under uncultured bacterium. RNAcentral describes it as "partial 16S ribosomal RNA". It matches the Rfam family "Bacterial small subunit ribosomal RNA", at positions 338 to 795 of the family's 1533-position model. The record is from RNAcentral.
CCUACGGGUGGCAGCAGUGGGGGAUAUUGGACAAUGGGGGAACCCUGAUCCAGCGACGCCGCGUGAGUGAAGAAGUAUUUCGGUAUGUAAAGCUCUGUCAGCAGGGAAGAAAGCAAUGACGGUACCUGACCAAGAAGCCCCGGCUAACUACGUGCCAGCAGCCGCGGUAAUACGUAGGGGGCAAGCGUUAUCCGGAAUUACUGGGUGAAAAGGGAGCGUAGACGGCUGUGCAAGUCUGGAGUGAAAGGCGGGGGCUCAACCCCCGGACUGCUCUGGAAACUGUAUGGCUGGAGUGCAGGAGAGGUAGGCGGAAUUCCUAGUGUAGCGGUGAAAUGCGUAGAUAUCUGGAGGAACAUCAGUGGCGAAGGCGACUAUCUGGCACAUAACUGACGUUGAGGAGCGAAAGCGUGGGUAGCAAACAGGAUUAGAUACCCCUGUAGUC